This 60-nucleotide transfer RNA is filed under the name Biomphalaria straminea. Its description in RNAcentral is "tRNA-Leu". Lineage: Eukaryota; Metazoa; Mollusca; Gastropoda; Planorbidae. The record is from RNAcentral.
AUUGUUUUUUUGUGGCAGAUUGAUGCAAAGAUUUUAAGCGUCUUUUAAGAAUUUUUUUCC